RNAcentral lists this long non-coding RNA (654 nucleotides) under Phoenix dactylifera (date palm). RNAcentral's name for it is "long non-coding RNA (PDAC_LNC013536)". Lineage: Eukaryota; Viridiplantae; Streptophyta; Magnoliopsida; Arecales; Arecaceae. The record is from RNAcentral.
UUCAAAAUAGAGUCCAAUUUUCCCAACGUCCCGAGUUCAUCUCGCGUCCGCAUCCUUCUCCAUCCGAAACUUCAUCCUCAUCCCCUGUGUCCAGCUAACAGAGCACUUCUCGUUUCUCCCUCUCCCGUUUGGAAUUGACUCCAUCCACGGAUGAGUUCACCUCUCCGGAUCCCAUGCAUCCCGACAUUCCGAAUUGAUCCCAGCUAACUUUGAGUGAUUUCCGUUGUCUAUACUUCAUCUCCCAAGUCAUUCACAGCCUUCCCGAACUUCUCAGCCGAUUAUAGAACUCAUCCUUAUCCUUUUUCUUCGCGUAUUCAUCCCAACGGCUUUCUUCUCAUCCUCUUCUCCGGAUCACUUGAAUCUUCCAAAGCCCCUGCAUCCCGACUCAUCUCUCAUCUUCGGAUCAAGCCAGUGAACCCGAAUCCCAGCAUCUUCAUCCCGUCCGCCCAAGCUUGAUCUCAUUCGUGAUGACCAUCCAGGAUCCAUGACAGCAUCCCGAGCUUCACGGAUCAGAGCCUCUAUCUUCCACGGAUGGUUCCCAGUUCAUUCCCAGCCGUCCGCAUUCCCCUCGGCAUUGAAGAAGUAAUCAGCUUCAGCCAUCCGGCCGAGAUCCUCUCAACGUCCAACCUCUCGCAUCCCAGCAUCUGGAAGCCA